UUUGCUGGAGUUUUGUUCUGACUUCUCGCAGUGUGGAAACUCCUACACCAAGAGAUUUGAUCCCGCAUCAGAAUAUCCCCCGCUUCUGGGGCCAGUAUCCGAAACACUGCGGAUAUUUGCUAAUUCUGUGUGUGGGACUGACCCCCAAACUUUUCGUUUUACUCAAAACCCUCCUCAUUAAGGGUGUCAAGGUGUUGGUCAUUUUUCAAAACGAGGUUCGUCUUCACGCAUUAUUAUCGGGAGAAUUUGUGACCGAAGGAGGAAUAUUUACUAUGUAAAUAUUUUACUGAUGAAGCGCUUUCUGCACUUCCUUUUUCAAAAGUUCUUGAGUGGCCUUCUGCGGGAUUAGCUCUCAAAAAGUUCCAUCAGCGGGAUGCGUUACAUAUCAUAUCUUUAGCGGCUGUGCCUCUCUGCCUACGUCAACAGUUGGUAAAAUCCCAACAUCACAGCAGUUGACAUCAACUGGCCAAGCAAGGUUCAAAGCACUGACAGUGUACCUAUGGGGGUUUGCAAGGAAACCAAGACCACGACUUUAUAGUAUCAGUUUCGACAGGAAUGAGCGGAGUUUCAAAGCACAAAUGACACCCAAAGCGGGGGCUCUUCCCCUCUGAAGAACACUGGGGUUGGGAUUUGAAAGAAGGGCCAGCAAAUGGAAAUUCACUCCAUCACACUCCGCACAAAGACUUAAAAAAUGAGCAAGCUCUCUCUCCCCACCUCCCACACUGAGGUGAUCUGUUGAGAUUACCCGCACUACGCAGUAGAGCUAGUUACCAAAUACCCUGCAUAUCCUGUUCCGGCUAAUUUCACUGAGGAGACGUGAAGAGUUAACGAAUUGAUACUCCUCCCGACAAGAAGGGCGGUGUAACAUAAUUACCAAGCGUGGACGAAAAGAUGGUUAUAUCCGAUAGGAGGAUUCAGCGCUCAUCAUAAGUAAGCUAUGAGAAUCUAUCCGCCUGAAACGUGCGUAUGGAAAAGUAGAUA
This 981-nucleotide small RNA is filed under the name Histoplasma ohiense. Its description in RNAcentral is "hypothetical lncRNA". Lineage: Eukaryota; Fungi; Ascomycota; Eurotiomycetes; Onygenales; Ajellomycetaceae. The record is from RNAcentral.